CCUACGGGGUGCUGCAGUGGGGAAUAUUGGACAAUGGGCGAAAGCCUGAUCCAGCCAUGCCGCGUGUGUGAAGAAGGCCUUCGGGUUGUAAAGCACUUUCAGUGGGGAAGAAAGCCUUGGGGCUAAUACCCUCGAGGAAGGACAUCACCCACAGAAGAAGCACCGGCUAACUCCGUGCCAGCAGCCGCGGUAAUACGGAGGGUGCGAGCGUUAAUCGGAAUUACUGGGCGUAAAGCGCGCGUAGGCGGUCUGAUAAGUCGGUUGUGAAAGCCCCGGGCUCAACCUGGGAACGGCAUCCGGAACUGUCAGGCUAGAGUGCAGGAGAGGAAGGUAGAAUUCCCGGUGUAGCGGUGAAAUGCGUAGAGAUCGGGAGGAAUACCAGUGGCGAAGGCGGCCUUCUGGACUGACACUGACGCUGAGGUGCGAAAGCGUGGGUAGCAAACAGGAUUAGAUACCCCAGUAGUC
RNAcentral lists this ribosomal RNA (465 nucleotides) under Vreelandella stevensii. Its description in RNAcentral is "partial 16S ribosomal RNA". It matches the Rfam family "Bacterial small subunit ribosomal RNA", at positions 338 to 795 of the family's 1533-position model. The record is from RNAcentral. Lineage: Bacteria; Pseudomonadati; Pseudomonadota; Gammaproteobacteria; Oceanospirillales; Halomonadaceae.